RNAcentral lists this ribosomal RNA (226 nucleotides) under uncultured bacterium. RNAcentral describes it as "partial 16S ribosomal RNA". It matches the Rfam family "Bacterial small subunit ribosomal RNA", at positions 328 to 539 of the family's 1533-position model. The record is from RNAcentral.
ACGCUCGACACCUACGGGAGGCAGCAGGUAGGGAAUCUUCCACAAUGGACGCAAGUCUGAUGGAGCAACGCCGCGUGAGUGAAGAAGGUCUUCGGAUCGUAAAACUCUGUUAGUUAGAGAAGAACACGAGUGAGAGUAACUGUUCAUUCGAUGACGGUAUCUAACCAGCAAGUCACGGCUAAACUACGUGCCAACAGCCGCGGUAAUCUGAGCGGGCUGGCAAGGC